GCUUUUCACCGGCAGGUCAGUAGGCCUUUUAGAAGCCGAACAAAUGAGCCGGUGAAAAAAAAAGAAAGCUAGAAUUUCCAAUAUUGAGACCAGCUUGACAAGCUACCUUUCCUCUUGAUCUGGGUGUGAAGAUAAUUUUUUAUGACUUCCACUUCUCGAUCCCGGCCCGAUAAAGUGACCGACCCCUUGAUGAAUGAAAGAAUGACUUCCACUUCUCGAUGCUUGGUGGCAAGGCUAACUAAGUAUAUGAUGAAGUUCUUAGAUAUUGUGAACAACCUUAACGUAGUUUCCUUUGUCUGUAUUGGUGAUGUUCCUAUCUAUGGUUAAC
Molecule: long non-coding RNA, 328 nt
Filed under: Setaria viridis
Lineage: Eukaryota; Viridiplantae; Streptophyta; Magnoliopsida; Poales; Poaceae
Description: long non-coding RNA (SVIR_LNC010990)
Source: RNAcentral